Long non-coding RNA from Aedes albopictus (Asian tiger mosquito), 1049 nucleotides. RefSeq lists it as uncharacterized. Lineage: Eukaryota; Metazoa; Arthropoda; Insecta; Diptera; Culicidae. The transcript is spliced from 2 exons. The record is from RefSeq and is a predicted model, not a curated record.
CAUUAAGGGUCUGUUCCAAUUGGCGAAUUAAAAUUAAUUUUUACUUAAAUUUGACAGUCCGACACUUAAACUUGACAGUUCUCCUAAGGAAAUAAUUAUCGAACUGUCAAGUUUAAGUGAAAAUUAAUUUUAAUUCUCCAAUUGGAACAGACCCUAAAGGUAUGAAUCAAGUAAGACCCAUGUUUGACUAAUCAUACAAAAUAUAUCAACAAUUUAUUUGCAAAUGAGUGUUAUAAUCUACUAGCUGUCCCGGCAAACGUUGUCUUGCCAAGCUGUGGCGGUUUGACAACUGUUGAGGUCAUCGUAGCAACGCACUCUAGAUUGAUUUAAUUUCGAUCACGCUGAAUUUCUUCUCGGCUCAUAAGAAAAUCAGUAUUGCUGUGUGCGUUCAAGAUGCAAACGGUGCCCAAAUGCGCUUCAAACGCGGUAACACAUGUUACCAAAGGCAACGUAGCAACCAUAGGGCAGUGCAUACUGCGGUUGCUAAGGAAAAAUUUUCUAAGUCUCUGACGUUUCGUGGCCUUGUUGUUUACAGUUUGGACUUAGAGAAUUUCAGUCGAAUUUUCGUUUUGUCCGGGAAGAGAUCCAGUGAUGAUGGUCGAGCCCAGAAUAUUUCAAGCCAGCGCCAAUUGGGUCAUUCUGGCCGAACGAGUUCCACCGAACCAGGAAAUAUUCGUGACCGAAACCUAUUUGAUGAGGGUAAACCAUAUUUGAAGCGGAUCUUCUACCAGCUUCUAUUAUAAUACUGCGAUGGCGCAGAUCCACCCCCAGAAGACAUGGACGCCAGCAAACUAUCAAGUUCUGGAAGGAGUGUGACCCUAGAUAUGCCGAACCUUUGCGAGAUUGCCGCCCUCAAGAUUCUCCUUUCAUCCAUCCAGAUGGCCAUAAUAGUGUACCUCGGCACCAAUCCAGGUCAAGCUUUCCAUCACUCACCGCUGAAGAAGAAGAAGUUGGAGUUUCUAACGCACCGUUAUUCAGAUUGGUUUUAUGCGAGUAGAUGAAAACCAAAUUGUUAAAUAUACCUAAUGGAAUAAAAGUGCAGUGCCGAA